Molecule: ribosomal RNA, 301 nt
Filed under: uncultured bacterium
Lineage: Bacteria
Description: partial 16S ribosomal RNA
Rfam family: Bacterial small subunit ribosomal RNA
Source: RNAcentral
CAGUAGCCGCGGUAAUACGAAGGGGGCUAGCGUCGUUCGGAAUUACUGGGCGUAAAGCGCACGUAGGCGGAUAUUUAAGUCAGGGGUGAAAUCCCGGAGCUCAACUCUGGAACUGCCUUUGAUACUGGGUAUCUUGAGUAUGGAAGAGGUGAGUGGAACUCCGAGUGUAGAGGUGAAAUUCGUAGAUAUUCGGAAAAACACCAGUGGCGAAGGCGGCUCACUGGACUGGUAUUGACGCUGAGGUGCGAAAGCGUGGGGAGCAAACAGGAUUAGAUACCCGAGUAGUCCCUGUCUCUUAUAU